Molecule: ribosomal RNA, 424 nt
Filed under: uncultured prokaryote
Description: bacterial SSU rRNA
Rfam family: Bacterial small subunit ribosomal RNA
Source: RNAcentral
UGGGGAAUCUUGCACAAUGGGCGCAAGCCUGAUGCAGCCAUGCCGCGUGAGUGAAGAAGGCCUUAGGGUUGUAAAGCUCUUUCACCAGGGAAGAUAAUGACGGUACCUGGAGAAGAAGCCCCGGCUAACUCCGUGCCAGCAGCCGCGGUAAUACGGAGGGGGCUAGCGUUGUUCGGAAUUACUGGGCGUAAAGCGCGCGUAGGCGGAUGAUCAAGUUGGGGGUGAAAGCCCGAGGCUUAACCUCGGAACUGCCCUCAAAACUGAUCGUCUCGAGUACGGGAGAGGUGAGUGGAAUUCCUAGUGUAGAGGUGAAAUUCGUAGAUAUUAGGAAGAACACCGGUGGCGAAGGCGGCUCACUGGCCCGUUACUGACGCUGAGGUGCGAAAGCGUGGGGAGCAAACAGGAUUAGAUACCCCCGUAGUCC